Molecule: unclassified non-coding RNA, 148 nt
Filed under: uncultured Ascomycota
Lineage: Eukaryota; Fungi; Ascomycota
Description: sequence contains ITS2
Source: RNAcentral
CACCAAUCACGCCUGGCGUGGUAUUGGGCAACGCGGUCCGCCGCGUGCCUCAAAUCGACCGGCUGGGUCUUCUGUCCCCUAAGCGUUGUGGAAACUAUUCGCUAAAGGGUGCUCGGGAGGCUACGCCGUAAAACAAACCCAUUUCUAA